UACGUAGGGUCCGAGCGUUGUCCGGAAUUAUUGGGCGUAAAGGGCUCGUAGGCGGUUCGUCACGUCGGGUGUGAAAACUCGGGGCUUAACCCCGAGCCUGCUUCCGAUACGGGCAGACUAGAGGUAGGCAGGGGAGAGCGGAACUCCUGGUGUAGCGGUGGAAUGCGCAGAUAUCAGGAAGAACACCGGUGGUGAAGGCGGCUCUCUGGGCCUUACCUGACGCUGAGGAGCGAAAGCGUGGGUAGCGAACAGG
This 253-nucleotide ribosomal RNA is filed under the name uncultured bacterium. Its description in RNAcentral is "partial 16S ribosomal RNA". It matches the Rfam family "Bacterial small subunit ribosomal RNA", at positions 524 to 776 of the family's 1533-position model. The record is from RNAcentral.